AACAAUGAUUGUUUAUGAGGAGAGGAACUAAGUGGCUAUGUGAAAGGGGUGGAAUGAAGAUGUAUACUGUUUUAUUCAUCUUGAUUUUUUUAACUAUAUGCAUAUAUCACCUAUUCAAACUGUUAAAUUUUUAGUUUGGCUUGCUUUAGGCAUGGUGCUUUCUUACUGAGGUAACCAGUGGUAUUUUUCCUGAACAAUCUUCCAAUACUAGAAUAUAUUAUGAAUCCCUUA
This 231-nucleotide long non-coding RNA is filed under the name Bos taurus (domestic cattle). RNAcentral's name for it is "long non-coding RNA NONBTAT017428". The record is from RNAcentral. Lineage: Eukaryota; Metazoa; Chordata; Mammalia; Artiodactyla; Bovidae.